GCCGAGGUGGCGGAACUGGCAGACGCGCGGGCCUCAAAAGCCCGUGGCCGCAAGGCCAUGAGAGUUCGACCCUCUCCCUCGGCA
This 84-nucleotide transfer RNA is filed under the name Candidatus Omnitrophota bacterium. RNAcentral describes it as "Candidatus Omnitrophica bacterium (groundwater metagenome) tRNA-Leu". It matches the Rfam family "tRNA". Rfam says of the family: Transfer RNA (tRNA) molecules are approximately 80 nucleotides in length. Their secondary structure includes four short double-helical elements and three loops (D, anti-codon, and T loops). Lineage: Bacteria; Pseudomonadati; Candidatus Omnitrophota. The record is from RNAcentral.